CAAUACAGAUACAAAAAUCUUAAUACAAUUUUAAAAAAUCCCAGUUUUCCUAAUCGGUCUGUUUGCAUUCUCCAUUCCAUGCUGUCAUUCCUUUCAUAGCACUGGAUACAACACAGGACUGCUCUCAUUAAAAAUGUAACCACAGCCUGUGUUUACAGAUCUCAGCAACACUUUGGAAGACUCAGAGGAGCAGGAAGGAGCACUGGAGAACAAGAGAGCACUGGAGGCAGAGGAUUCAGGUGACAGUGAUGCUGAACUGGACAGUGAUGGACUCAAAGGAGAGCGGGAGUUGGGAGACAAUAUGAUGGAGAAAAGAGCUGACAUGGAUUCUGAAGUGGUCCUGACACAGUCCAUGGUAGUGAAGAAGGAUGCCCUGUCCAAAAGAUACUACAGAAGUAAGUGU
Long non-coding RNA from Acipenser ruthenus (sterlet), 403 nucleotides. RefSeq lists it as uncharacterized. The transcript is spliced from 4 exons. NCBI's taxonomy places the organism in Eukaryota, Metazoa, Chordata, Actinopteri, Acipenseriformes, Acipenseridae. The record is from RefSeq and is a predicted model, not a curated record.